This 262-nucleotide ribosomal RNA is filed under the name uncultured bacterium. Its description in RNAcentral is "partial 16S ribosomal RNA". It matches the Rfam family "Bacterial small subunit ribosomal RNA", at positions 524 to 784 of the family's 1533-position model. The record is from RNAcentral.
UACGAAGGGGGCUAGCGUUGCUCGGAAUUACUGGGCGUAAAGCGCGUGUAGGCGGCGUCGUUAGUCGGAUGUGAAAGCCCUCGGCUCAACCGAGGAAGUGCAUCCGAUACUGCGAUGCUUGAGUGUUGGAGGGGGUGGCGGAAUUCCCGGUGUAGAGGUGAAAUUCGUAGAUAUCGGGAGGAACACCUGUGGCGAAGGCGGCCACCUGGACAACAACUGACGCUGAGACGCGAAAGCGUGGGUAGCAAACAGGAUUGAGAUA